Molecule: ribosomal RNA, 408 nt
Filed under: uncultured bacterium
Lineage: Bacteria
Description: bacterial SSU rRNA
Rfam family: Bacterial small subunit ribosomal RNA
Source: RNAcentral
AAUCAACGCUGGCGGCGUGCCUCAGACAUGCAAGUCGAACGCGAAAGUCCCUUCGGGGAAUAAGUAGAGUGGCGCACGGGUGAGUAACACGUAGGUAAUCUACCUUCGGGUGGGGAAUAACCCAGGGAAACUUGGGCUAACACCGCAUGAUGCAGCGGCACCACAUGGUGACAGUUGUUAAAGCGGGGGAUUUUCGGACCUCGCGCCUGAAGAGGAGCCUGCGGCGGAUUAGCUAGNGGUGAGGUAACGGCUCACCAAGGUAACGAUCCGUAGCCGGCCUGAGAGGGCGGUCGGCCACACUGACACUGACAUACGGGUCAGACUCCUACGGGAGGCAGCAGUCGGGAAUUUGGGCAAUGGGCGAAAGCCUGACCCAGCAACGCCGCGUGAAGGAUGAAAUCCCUCGGG